Molecule: long non-coding RNA, 480 nt
Filed under: Rhinopithecus bieti (black snub-nosed monkey)
Lineage: Eukaryota; Metazoa; Chordata; Mammalia; Primates; Cercopithecidae
Description: lncRNA (ENSRBIG00000045354.1)
Source: RNAcentral
CCAACUAUGGAGAUGGACGCAACCUAUGAUGCAUUUCAUACAAGCUCUUCUCUGCUCACACAACACUCUCUGAUGAGCCACAGGGCAGACUGAAUGUCACAUUUGUGGCAUCAGUUACUCCAAAGGACAUGAUGGAAGGUAACCAGUUGCCCCCAUAGGUGGUCCCUUGCAGUCUGGGAAAUCAAGUGUCGAGGAUGUCAUUUCCACCAGAAGAGUCAAGCCCUGAGCAGCUGCCUGCCUUCCUUUGCUACACCAGGAGCUCCUAGGGAGUCACAGGAAGCUCCAGUUACCACCGUCUCCAUCAGACGGGAUCCUUCCUCAGGAAUGCGAGCUGUGACAUUGCAUCUCCAUUGGCAGUCUCUUCUGUACUCCCAGCACUUAGCAUCUAGGCCCUGGAGGAAUCCAGAAGCACUGGCUUCUUCCGUCCUACCAAGGCAGGAAUGUUAAGUCACCUCUUCAUGCCUGUACCUCUGUCCCCCA